AAUAGAUACCCCGGUAGUCCACGCCGUAAACGAUGAGUACUAGGGGUAGGGGGUAUCGACCCCCUCUGUCCCGAAGCCAACGCGAUAAGUACUCCGCCUGGGGACUACGGCCGCAAGGCUAAAACUCAAAGGAAUUGACGGGGGGCCCGCACAAGCAGCGGAGCGUGUGGUUUAAUUCGAUGAUACGCGAAGAACCUCACCCAGGUUUGACAUGCAUGUGGUACCGAUCCGAAAGGUGAAGGACCCUUCGGGGAGCAUGCACAGGUGUUGCACGGCCGUCGUCAGCUCGUGCCGUGAGGUGUUGGGUUAAGUCCCGCAACGAGCGCAACCCCUGUCGCCAGUUGUAUUUUUCUGGCGAGACUGCCGAGAAAACCUCGGAGGAAGGAGGGGACGAUGUCAGGUCAGCGUGGCCCUUACGCCUGGGGCUACACACACGCUACAAUGGGUGGUACAACGGGUUGCCAAGCCGCGAGGUGGAGCUAAUCCCAUCAAAGCCAUCCCCAGUUCGGAUUGUAGGCUGAAACCCGCCUGCAUGAAGCCGGAGUUGCUAGUAACCGC
RNAcentral lists this ribosomal RNA (558 nucleotides) under uncultured bacterium. RNAcentral's name for it is "bacterial SSU rRNA". It matches the Rfam family "Bacterial small subunit ribosomal RNA", at positions 777 to 1345 of the family's 1533-position model. The record is from RNAcentral.